Molecule: ribosomal RNA, 760 nt
Filed under: uncultured Bacteroides sp.
Lineage: Bacteria; Pseudomonadati; Bacteroidota; Bacteroidia; Bacteroidales; Bacteroidaceae
Description: bacterial SSU rRNA
Rfam family: Bacterial small subunit ribosomal RNA
Source: RNAcentral
GAUGAACGCUAGCUACAGGCUUAACACAUGCAAGUCGAGGGGCAGCAUUUUAGUUUGCUUGCAAACUAAAGAUGGCGACCGGCGCACGGGUGAGUAACACGUAUCCAACCUGCCGAUAACUCGGGGAUAGCCUUUCGAAAGAAAGAUUAAUAUCCGAUGGUAUAUUAAAACCGCAUGGUUUUACUAUUAAAGAAUUUCGGUUAUCGAUGGGGAUGCGUUCCAUUAGUUUGUUGGCGGGGUAACGGCCCACCAAGACAACGAUGGAUAGGGGUUCUGAGAGGAAGGUCCCCCACAUUGGAACUGAGACACGGUCCAAACUCCUACGGGAGGCAGCAGUGAGGAAUAUUGGUCAAUGGACGAGAGUCUGAACCAGCCAAGUAGCGUGAAGGAUGACUGCCCUAUGGGUUGUAAACUUCUUUUAUAUGGGAAUAAAGUAUUCCACGUGUGGGAUUUUGUAUGUACCAUAUGAAUAAGGAUCGGCUAACUCCGUGCCAGCAGCCGCGGUAAUACGGAGGAUCCGAGCGUUAUCCGGAUUUAUUGGGUUUAAAGGGAGCGUAGGUGGAUUGUUAAGUCAGUUGUGAAAGUUUGCGGCUCAACCGUAAAAUUGCAGUUGAAACUGGCAGUCUUGAGUACAGUAGAGGUGGGCGGAAUUCGUGGUGUAGCGGUGAAAUGCUUAGAUAUCACGAAGAACUCCGAUUGCGAAGGCAGCUCACUAGACUGCAACUGACACUGAUGCUCGAAAGUGUGGGUAUCAAACAGG